UGCGUAGGCGGAACCUUAAGUCAGUGGUAAAAGGCAUUAGCUUAACUAAUGUAAGCCAUUGAAACUGGGAUUCUUGAGUUCGGUAGAGGUAGGCGGAAUGUGUUGUGUAGCGGUGAAAUGCAUAGAUAUAACACAGAACACCGAUUGCGAAGGCAGCUUACUAUGCCGUUACUGACGCUGAUGCACGAAAGCGUGGGUAUCAAACAGGAUUAGAUACCCUGGUAGUCC
RNAcentral lists this ribosomal RNA (228 nucleotides) under uncultured bacterium. RNAcentral's name for it is "partial 16S ribosomal RNA". It matches the Rfam family "Bacterial small subunit ribosomal RNA", at positions 568 to 796 of the family's 1533-position model. The record is from RNAcentral.